AGGUGUGAUCAUACCAGCACUAAUGCACCCGAUCCCAUCAGAACUCCGCAGUUAAGCGUGCUUGAGCAAGAGUAGUACUAGGAUGGGUGACACAUAUUUAUGAUAUGAUUUGGGUGUACUUG
This 122-nucleotide ribosomal RNA is filed under the name Vigna radiata var. radiata (mung bean). The record is from RNAcentral. Lineage: Eukaryota; Viridiplantae; Streptophyta; Magnoliopsida; Fabales; Fabaceae.